RNAcentral lists this ribosomal RNA (454 nucleotides) under uncultured bacterium. RNAcentral's name for it is "bacterial SSU rRNA". It matches the Rfam family "Bacterial small subunit ribosomal RNA", at positions 340 to 786 of the family's 1533-position model. The record is from RNAcentral.
CACGGGAGGCAGCAGUGGGGAAUAUUGCACAAUGGGCGAAAGCCUGAUGCAGCUAUGCCGCGUGUAUGAAGAAGGCCUUAGGGUUGUAAAGUACUUUCAUCGGGGAGGAAAAACAAAACUAAUAAUUUUAUUUCUUGACGUUACCCGAAAAAGAAGCACCGGCUAACUCCGUGCCAGCAGCCGCGGUAAUACGGAGGGUGCUAGCGUUAAUCAGAAUUACUGGGCGUAAAGAGCACGUAGGUGGUUUUUUUAAGUCAGAUGUGAAAUCCCUGGGCUUAACCUGGAACUGCAUUUUGAAACUGAAAUACUAGAGUAUCGUAGAGGGAGGUAGAAUUCUAGGUGUAGCGGUGAAAUGCGUAGAUAUCUGGAGGAAUACCUGUGGCGAAAGCGGCCUCCUAAACGAAUACUGACACUGAGGUGCGAAAGCGUGGGGAGCAAACAGGGAUUAGAUACC